CCUACGGGAGGCAGCAGUGGGGAAUAUUGGACAAUGGGCGAAAGCCUGAUCCAGCCAUGCCGCGUGUGUGAAGAAGGCCUUCGGGUUGUAAAGCACUUUCAGUGGGGAAGAAAGCCUUGGGGCUAAUACCCUCGAGGAAGGACAUUACCCACAGAAGAAGCACCGGCUAACUCCGUGCCAGCAGCCGCGGUAAUACGGAGGGUGCGAGCGUUAAUCGGAAUUACUGGGCGUAAAGCGCGCGUAGGCGGUCUGAUAAGCCGGUUGUGAAAGCCCCGGGCUCAACCUGGGAACGGCAUCCGGAACUGUCAGGCUAGAGUGCAGGAGAGGAAGGUAGAAUUCCCGGUGUAGCGGUGAAAUGCGUAGAGAUCGGGAGGAAUACCAGUGGCGAAGGCAGCCUUCUGAACUGACACUGACGCUGAGGUGCGAAAGCGUGGGUAGCAAACAGGAUUAGAUACCCCUGUAGUC
This 465-nucleotide ribosomal RNA is filed under the name Vreelandella stevensii. RNAcentral's name for it is "partial 16S ribosomal RNA". It matches the Rfam family "Bacterial small subunit ribosomal RNA", at positions 338 to 795 of the family's 1533-position model. Lineage: Bacteria; Pseudomonadati; Pseudomonadota; Gammaproteobacteria; Oceanospirillales; Halomonadaceae. The record is from RNAcentral.